ACGCUGGCGGCGUGCCUAAUACAUGCAAGUAGAACGCUGAAGCUUGGUGCUUGCACCGAGCGGAUGAGUUGCGAACGGGUGAGUAACGCGUAGGUAACCUGCCUCUUAGCGGGGGAUAACUAUUGGAAACGAUAGCUAAUACCGCAUAAAAGUCGACAUUGCAUGAUGUUGACUUGAAAGGUGCAAUUGCAUCACUAAGAGAUGGACCUGCGUUGUAUUAGCUAGUUGGUGAGGUAACGGCUCACCAAAGCAACGAUACAUAGCCGACCUGAGAGGGUGAUCGGCCACACUGGGACUGAGACACGGCCCAGACUCCUACGGGAGGCAGCAGUAGGGAAUCUUCGGCAAUGGGGGCAACCCUGACCGAGCAACGCCGCGUGAGUGAAGAAGGUUCUCGGAUCGUAAAGCUCUGUUGUAAGAGAAGAACGAGUGUGAGAGUGGAAAGUUCACACUGUGACGGUAACUUACCAGAAAGGGACGGCUAACUACGUGCCAGCAGCCGCGGUAAUACGUAGGUCCCGAGCGUUAUCCGGAUUUAUUGGGCGUAAAGCGAGCGCAGGCGGUUAGAUAAGUCUGAAGUUAAAGGCUGUGGCUUAACCAUAGUACGCUUUGGAAACUGUUUAACUUGAGUGCAGAAGGGGAGAGUGGAAUUCCAUGUGUAGCGGUGAAAUGCGUAGAUAUAUGGAGGAACACCGGUGGCGAAAGCGGCUCCCUGGUCUGUAACUGACGCUGAGGCUCGAAAGCGUGGGGAGCAAACAGGAUUAGAUACCCUGGUAGUCCACGCCGUAAACGAUGAGUGCUAGGUGUUGGGUCCUCUCCGGGACUCAGUGCCGCAGCUAACGCAUUAAGCACUCCGCCUGGGGAGUACGACCGCAAGGUUGAAACUCAAAGGAAUUGACGGGGGCCCGCACAAGCGGUGG
RNAcentral lists this ribosomal RNA (920 nucleotides) under uncultured bacterium. RNAcentral describes it as "bacterial SSU rRNA". It matches the Rfam family "Bacterial small subunit ribosomal RNA", at positions 33 to 935 of the family's 1533-position model. The record is from RNAcentral.